RNAcentral lists this ribosomal RNA (543 nucleotides) under uncultured bacterium. RNAcentral's name for it is "bacterial SSU rRNA". It matches the Rfam family "Bacterial small subunit ribosomal RNA", at positions 777 to 1319 of the family's 1533-position model. The record is from RNAcentral.
AAUAGAUACCCGGGUAGUCCACGCCGUAAACGUUGGAUACUAGGUGUGGCGGUUAUACCAAUGACUGCCGUGCCGAAGCUAACGCAUUAAGUAUCCCGCCUGGGGAGUACGGCCGCAAGGCUAAAACUCAAAGGAAUUGACGGGUCCCCGCACAAGCGGCGGAGCAUGCGGCUUAAUUCGAUGCAACCCGAAAAACCUUACCUGGGUUUGACAUCACGGGAAAAGCUGUAGAAAUACAGUGUCCAUUAGGGCCCGUGACAGGUGGUGCAUGGCUGUCGUCAGCUCGUGUCGUGAGAUGUUGGGUUAAGUCCCGCAACGAGCGCAACCCUUGUCUCAUGUUGCCAGCACGUGAUGGUGGGGACUCGUGAGAGACUGCCGGGGUCAACUCGGAGGAAGGUGGGGAUGACGUCAAGUCAUCAUGCCCCUUAUGUCCAGGGCUUCACACAUGCUACAAUGGUCGGUACAAAGGGCUGCGAUGCCGUGAGGUUAAGCGAAUCCUUUAAAGCCGGUCUCAGUUCGGAUCGGGGUCUGCAACUCGACCCC